GUUUUUUGGAUUUUUUUUUGGUCUAGUUACA
Molecule: small RNA, 31 nt
Filed under: Arabidopsis thaliana (thale cress)
Lineage: Eukaryota; Viridiplantae; Streptophyta; Magnoliopsida; Brassicales; Brassicaceae
Description: ATSL306360
Source: RNAcentral